UGGGGAAUAUUGCACAAUGGGGGAAACCCUGAUGCAGCGACGCCGCGUGAGCGAAGAAGGCCUUCGGGUCGUAAAGCUCUUUUAUGAGGGAAGAUAAUGACGGUACCUCAAGAAAAAGCCCCGGCUAACUACGUGCCAGCAGCCGCGGUAAUACGUAGGGGGCUAGCGUUGUCCGGAAUCACUGGGCGUAAAGGGUUCGCAGGCGGAAUAACAAGUCAGAUGUGAAAGGCAUGGGCUCAACCCAUGUAAGCAUUUGAAACUGUAAUUCUUGAGAAGUGGAGAGGUAAGUGGAAUUCCUAGUGUAGCGGUGAAAUGCGUAGAGAUUAGGAGGGAUACCUGUGGCGAAGGCGACUUACUGGACACAAAUCUGACGCUGAGGAACGAAAGCGUGGGUAGCAAACAGG
RNAcentral lists this ribosomal RNA (404 nucleotides) under Verrucomicrobiota bacterium. RNAcentral describes it as "Verrucomicrobia bacterium partial 16S ribosomal RNA". It matches the Rfam family "Bacterial small subunit ribosomal RNA", at positions 355 to 776 of the family's 1533-position model. The record is from RNAcentral. Lineage: Bacteria; Pseudomonadati; Verrucomicrobiota.